AAACAGUUUGACACCCACCUUUGAUUUCAUUUCAGACAUUCAGAAGGCACUAGCUAGGAUAAUGUAAACAGAUUUUAUUUAAAUAGACUUUAGAAAAAGCUGUCAACCAAACUAAAACACCUGCAUAAACAAUAGCACGAACAAAGCUGCAUAAACAAUAGACUUUAGUCAUAUGUCUGAACAUUGUGUCCUAUCACGCGGCUUCUUGCUUGGGGCAGUCUUCACUCUUGUGCUCGUGUUCCUCUUGCC
This 249-nucleotide long non-coding RNA is filed under the name Prunus persica (peach). RNAcentral's name for it is "long non-coding RNA (PPER_LNC006949)". Lineage: Eukaryota; Viridiplantae; Streptophyta; Magnoliopsida; Rosales; Rosaceae. The record is from RNAcentral.